RNAcentral lists this ribosomal RNA (499 nucleotides) under uncultured bacterium. Its description in RNAcentral is "bacterial SSU rRNA". It matches the Rfam family "Bacterial small subunit ribosomal RNA", at positions 32 to 507 of the family's 1533-position model. The record is from RNAcentral.
GACGACGCUGGCGGCGUGCCUAACACAUGCAAGUCAAGGAGAAUUCCCGACUUGUCGGGAUAGUAAACUGGCGAACGGGUGAGUAACACGUAGGUAAUCUACCCUCGGGAUCGGGAUAACCUCGCGAAAGUGGGGAUAAUACCGAAUAAAGUCUCGGUAUAAUUUGUCGAGAUGAAAGAUGGGGAUCUUCGGACCUAUUACCUGAGGAUGAGCCUGCGCCUGAUUAGCUAGUUGGUAGGGUAAAUGCCUACCAAGGCAACGAUCAGUAGCUGGUCUGAGAGGAUGAUCAGCCACAUUGGGACUGAGAUACGGCCCAGACUCCUACGGGAGGCAGCAGUGAGGAAUUUUGCGCAAUGGGCGAAAGCCUGACGCAGCAACGCCGCGUGACUGAUUAAGCUCUGAGGAGUAGUAAAAGUCUGUCGUAGAGGAAGAAACUAUCCGAUAAGAAUAUUGUCGGAUACUGACGGUACUCUAUGAGAAAGCUCCGGCUAACUCCGUG